UACAUGGGGUGCAAACGUUGCUCGGAAUUAUUGGGCGUAAAGGGCUCGUAGGCGGUCUGUCGCGUCGGGAGUGAAAACUCGGGGCUUAACUCCGAGCCUGCUUCUGAUACGGGCAGACUAGAGGUAUGCAGGGGAGAAUGGAAUUCCUGGUGUAGCGGUGAAAUGCGCAGAUAUCAGGAGGAACACCGGUGGCGAAGGCGGUUCUCUGGGCAUGACCUGACGCUGAGGAGCGAAAGUGUGGGGAGCGAACAGG
RNAcentral lists this ribosomal RNA (253 nucleotides) under uncultured bacterium. RNAcentral describes it as "partial 16S ribosomal RNA". It matches the Rfam family "Bacterial small subunit ribosomal RNA", at positions 524 to 776 of the family's 1533-position model. The record is from RNAcentral.